RNAcentral lists this ribosomal RNA (386 nucleotides) under uncultured methanogenic archaeon. RNAcentral's name for it is "bacterial SSU rRNA". It matches the Rfam family "Archaeal small subunit ribosomal RNA", at positions 474 to 859 of the family's 1478-position model. Lineage: Archaea; Methanobacteriati; Methanobacteriota. The record is from RNAcentral.
CACCGGCAGCUCUAGUGGUAGCAGUUUUUAUUGGGCCUAAAGCGUCCGUAGCCGGUUUAAUAAGUCUCUGGUGAAAUCCUGUAGCUUAACUGUGGGAAUUGCUGGAGAUACUAUUAGACUUGAGACCGGGAGAGGUUAGAGGUACUCCCAGGGUAGAGGUGAAAUUCUGUAAUCCUGGGAGGACCGCCUGUUGUGAAGGCGUCUAACUGGAACGGUUCUGACGGUGAGGGACGAAAGUUAGGGGCGCGAACCGGAUUAGAUACCCGGGUAGUCCUAACUGUAAACGAUGCGGACUUGGUGUUGGGGUGGCUUUGAGCUGCUCCAGUGCCGAAGGGAAGCUGUUAAGUCCGCCGCCUGGGAAGUACGGUCGCAAGACUGAAACUUAA